GACGAACGCUGGCGGCGUGCUUAACACAUGCAAGUCGAACGGAAAGGCGCUGCUUUUGUGGCGUGCUCGAUUGGCGAACGCGUGAGUAACACGUGAGUAAACUGCCCUUGACUUUCGGAUAACUUCAGGAAACUGGGGCUAAUACCGGAUAGGAGCUCCUGCUGCACAGGGGGCGUCGGAAAGUUUCGGCGGUUGGGGAUGGACUCGCGGCUUAUCCGCUGGUUGGUGGGGUAGUGGCUUACAAAGGGUUUGACGGGUAGCCGGCCUGAGAGGGUGAACGGCCACAUUGGGACUGAGAUACGGCGCAGACUCCUACGGGAGGCAGCAGUGGGGAAUAUUGCACAAUGGGCGGAAGCCUGAUGCAGCAACGCCGCGUGCGGGAUGACGGCCUUCGGGUUGUAAACCGCUGUCGCCUGUGACGAAGCGUGAGUGACGGUAAUGGGUAAAGAAGCACCGGCUAACUACGUG
Molecule: ribosomal RNA, 468 nt
Filed under: uncultured bacterium
Lineage: Bacteria
Description: partial 16S ribosomal RNA
Rfam family: Bacterial small subunit ribosomal RNA
Source: RNAcentral